Chiroxiphia lanceolata (lance-tailed manakin) is the source of this 822-nucleotide long non-coding RNA. RefSeq lists it as uncharacterized. NCBI's taxonomy places the organism in Eukaryota, Metazoa, Chordata, Aves, Passeriformes, Pipridae. The transcript has 3 exons. The record is from RefSeq and is a predicted model, not a curated record.
CGCGCCCUGAUUGGCUAACGCCCCGCCUGCGCGGCUCGCCAUUGGCUCGCACGUCAGCACAGCGGUCUCCGAUUGGCUGGCACCGCCCUUCCUCCCCGCUGACGGGCUCCUGCGCUCAGGUCCCGCUCUCGCACCCGCGUCCCGACUCGCCAUUGGCGGCGUGUCUCGGCCCCGCCGCUCCCGUCCCGCCCUGCCUCUUCCUCCCGCCUUCCCGUGCCGCCCUCAGCGCUGCUUGGUGCUCCCGGCGCAGUCCCGCCUCCCUGGCCAGCACGGCCCCGCCCGCCGAUGGCUCAGCCUCCAUAACACUCUCCUCGCCGAAGCGGCCGCUUCCGGGGACACAAAGCUCAGAUUCUCUUUCAUCAGAAGAACCCUAUCCAUCAGAAAACGCAUGGUUUGGCAGUGAGGUGUAAAGUAGUUUUCCCCCAAGUCAGUAGAUAAGGUUUCAGCGUGGACAAGAAAACCCAGGCAUGGAUCAGAAAACAAAUUAUUCUUGCAGUGACCUGAGUUUGUAUGUUCAUGAAAUAACAUUGUUGCUACCUCAACUGCAGAAGCACUUCCAAGAAACCCUUCUCUCCUUAUCCCACCCUGUACAGCUGUCCUAUAUGAAAUAAUAUAAAAAAAAUGUUAAACCUCAGUGGGCUGGACUCUGCUGCUCGAGUAACCACACAGAGGGUGGGGGGACUGCAGCAUUAUCAGCACAUUACCCCUUGUUAUCCAGAAUAGGCUAUUCCCUGAUUCUUCAAACAGGAUUUUCCUGUUACUGUGUGUGGGCUGGGAGGUUUAACUACAUUCUGCCUCUUCCUACUGCUAUGAUUAUUAUUG